GGCAAAGCUCUUAUUUGAAAUCUGGCACCUUCGGCCUUCGAGUUGUAAUUUGAAGAAGGUAACUUUGGAGUUGGCUCUUGUCUAUGUUCCUUGGAACAGGACGUCACAGAGGGUGAGAAUCCCGUGCGAUGAGAUGCCCAAUUCUAUGUAAAGUGCUUUCGAAGAGUCGAGUUGUUUGGGAAUGCAGCUCUAAGUGGGUGGUAAAUUCCAUCUAAAGCUAAAUAUUGGCGAGAGACCGAUAGCGAACAAGUACAGUGAUGGAAAGAUGAAAAGAACUUUGAAAAGAGAGUGAAAAAGUACGUGAAAUUGUUGAAAGGGAAGGGCUUGAGAUCAGACUUGGUAUUUUGCGAUCCUUUCCUUCUUGGUUGGGUUCCUCGCAGCUUACUGGGCCAGCAUCGGUUUGGAUGGUAGGAUAAUGACUAAGGAAUGUGGCUCUACUUCGGUGGAGUGUUAUAGCCUUGGUUGAUACUGCCUGUCUAGACCGAGGACUGCGUCUUUUGACUAGGAUGUUGGCAUAAUGAUCUUAAGCCACCCGUCUUGAAACACGGAC
This 550-nucleotide ribosomal RNA is filed under the name Debaryomyces hansenii. RNAcentral describes it as "eukaryotic LSU rRNA". It matches the Rfam family "Eukaryotic large subunit ribosomal RNA", at positions 101 to 666 of the family's 3401-position model. Lineage: Eukaryota; Fungi; Ascomycota; Pichiomycetes; Serinales; Debaryomycetaceae. The record is from RNAcentral.